AGGCAGCAGUGGGGAAUAUUGCACAAUGGGCGCAAGCCUGAUGCAGCCAUGCCGCGUGUAUGAAGAAGGCCUUCGGGUUGUAAAGUACUUUCAGCGGGGAGGAAGGGAGUAAAGUUAAUACCUUUGCUCAUUGACGUUACCCGCAGAAGAAGCACCGGCUAACUCCGUGCCAGCAGCCGCGGUAAUACGGAGGGUGCAAGCGUUAAUCGGAAUUACUGGGCGUAAAGCGCACGCAGGCGGUUUGUUAAGUCAGAUGUGAAAUCCCCGGGCUCAACCUGGGAACUGCAUCUGAUACUGGCAAGCUUGAGUCUCGUAGAGGGGGGUAGAAUUCCAGGUGUAGCGGUGAAAUGC
RNAcentral lists this ribosomal RNA (351 nucleotides) under uncultured bacterium. RNAcentral describes it as "bacterial SSU rRNA". It matches the Rfam family "Bacterial small subunit ribosomal RNA", at positions 346 to 689 of the family's 1533-position model. The record is from RNAcentral.